CACACCACAACAUGAACGUACCACACCACAACACACCACAACAUGAACGUAACACACCACAACAUGAACAUACCACACCACACUGUGAACGUAACACACCACACCACACUGUGAACGUAACACACCACAACAUGAACGUAACACACCACAACAUGAACGUACCACACCACACCGUGAAGGUAACACACCACACCACACCGUCAUGUGACGUCUAUUAUAGUAAAAUCACAAUCCAGGUCUGGCUAUGAUGAGUCUUGAUCUUGGCUUCAACUUUUUUUUUACCAGUAGUAAAGAGCAACGAACGCUCAAUCAGCCCUCUAACCUCACAAAUAUCAUUUAUGGAGGUCAAAGGUUACCACAUUCCAAUUCUCUACCCUUCUCCCUGAGGUGUGCACUUGUACACUUCCCUUUAUGGAUUUAAAAUUAUUGGACUGGUGUCAGAAAUAUGAUGGAAAUGGGAACUCCCCUCCAGUCAUACUUGUACCGAUCCAAUGGUUUUGAGUUCUGGAGAAGGGUGGAACAUCGGAACGCAGCCACAGGGUUCAACUGCACCUCAGAGACUCCUGCCUUAUGUACGGUACAGAGUCAUGGAACCACUUUAAUAACGGUUACAUACUGUUUUACCUACUUCAUGUCUAUAUACUGUAUUCUAGUCAUGGUUCAUUCUAUAUAACUACUGCUGUACACACUUUCUAAUUCAUAUACUGUCUAUACACACCAUCCUAUUAUAACUACUGUCUAUACACACCAUCCUAUAUAUAACUACUGUCUAUACACACCAUCCUAUAUAUAACUACUGUCUAUACACACCAUCCUAUAUAUAACUACUGUCUAUACUGUCUAUACACACCAUCCUAUAUAACUACUGUCUAUACUGUCUAUACACACCAUCCUAUAUAACUACUGUCUAUGCACACCAUCCUAUAUAACUACUGUCUAUACACACCAUCCUAUAUAACUACUGUCUAUACACACCAUCCUAU
Molecule: long non-coding RNA, 983 nt
Organism: Oncorhynchus tshawytscha (Chinook salmon)
Lineage: Eukaryota; Metazoa; Chordata; Actinopteri; Salmoniformes; Salmonidae
Source: Ensembl